CUGCCCCAUAGGGCUUCAAGCACUCUGGGCUACUUACAAGUUAAUUAUGCUACACAUUGCCCUAAAAAGGCAGCAAAAGUGUUGUGGUACCUCGAGGAUGAACAGUUCAAUCACUUGUCUGAAGAAAAGAAUGUAUCCAUGAAAGCUCAUGCUAAAAUAUAGCAUUCUAUAAGGUGCCACAAUACUCUCUUUAAUUUUAGUUUUUAUUUUUGUCUGGAUAAGACUGGUUCAGUACAUAAAGCUGUCACAGUUAUGUUCUGUCAAGGCAAAGCUGACUCAUAAUGACCCUAAAAGGGCUUUUAAGAAAAGAGGUAUUUGAGGAGCUCCAUUCCCCUGUGAGUUUCCAUACCUGAGUGACGAUUCAAACCCAGGUCUCGACUCCUAGUCUGUCACUCUAUCUACUGCACCACACUGGAAACCACAAACACCAUGUAACAGGAUUACAUGCUGUUUAUUAGUGCUGAUAAAACACAUUCACCUCUAUAAACAGCUUGACAGGGCAGUGGUAAGUGCUUCCACAGGAAUGGGGAAUACACUGUGGAUGGAUUGUCAUCCCUUAAUUCCUGACCAUUGGCAAUACCGGGAGCUGCAAUCCAACAACUUUUCAUUUCCCAGCCUUGCUGUCUUCUCUCAGCUGCUGUCUCCACCCAUAUUCCUUAGAGUAAUAAGUUCCUCCCCCAUGGUAGAUGCACACUUAUUAGAUGAGCAGGUCAUGUACUUAUCACGUGCUUGAGAGUAGAAAGAGAAGUUUUAUCUUCCUAUUAUAGUCUAGACAUUUCAGAUUCUAUAAUGUCUCUCCAUGCAGCAACAGAAUCUCAUGAAUUGGUAUUUUUCAUUAAUGGGGAAAAGAUAUCAGUGAAGAAUGCUGAUCCAGAAACAACAUUGUUGUCCUACUUGAGAAAGAAUCAUAUCUUUUUCUUUAGUGCACAGAUAAGGUACAGUACGCAGAUAAGGCUGAGCACUGGAUCACCAACAGAUUGCACAUGUACUCUGAGUCCAGGCAGGAAGAAAUCCAAGGGCUAGUUCUACUGACAGAAUCACUUCUCUCAGAUGACACGUUACUACAAUCCUUAAAUCAUGCAUCCUUAAAAUCAGCCCUGGGGAACAGGAGAACCCUUUAAAGCCAAAUAUCAGGCAGUGCAGAAGGCUUCAGUGGCAAGAAAGUUUGAUCAUGCUAGUUGCUAGUGGUAGUUUGCUAGUGGGACAUUGGAUAUAGAUCAUAGCCCCCCACCUGAAAAACAUAAUGUGUGGAAGUAUCCCAAGAAUAAUGUACUCUGUGUUGCUAAGGUCCGUGCUGGUCCAACAAAAUGCAUUAGUGUAUGUUUUAUGUUGUUAGCCGCCUAGAGUGGUCCUGAUCCGACCAGAUAGGCGGGAUAUAAGCCGCCCAG
RNAcentral lists this long non-coding RNA (1388 nucleotides) under Pogona vitticeps (central bearded dragon). Its description in RNAcentral is "lncRNA (ENSPVIG00000004089.1)". Lineage: Eukaryota; Metazoa; Chordata; Lepidosauria; Squamata; Agamidae. The record is from RNAcentral.